AACGUAGGUGGCAAGCGUUAUCCGGAUUUACUGGGCGUAAAGCGUGUGCAGGCGGGUGGACAAGUGGUGUAUGAAAUCGCCAGGCUAAACCUGGCGGGUUAUGCCAGACUGUCCGUCUGGAGUGCGAGAGAGGGGCGUGGAAUUCCGGUGUAGUGGUGAAAUGCGUAGAGAUCCGGAGGAACCCCAGAGGCGAAGGCGGCGCCCUGGCUCGCAACUGACGCUCAGACACGACAGCAUGGGGAGCGAACGGG
RNAcentral lists this ribosomal RNA (251 nucleotides) under uncultured bacterium. RNAcentral describes it as "partial 16S ribosomal RNA". It matches the Rfam family "Bacterial small subunit ribosomal RNA", at positions 524 to 776 of the family's 1533-position model. The record is from RNAcentral.